GUCUUCGGCCACACCUCCCUGAACAAGCCCGAUCCUGUCUGAUCUCGGAAGCUAAGCAGGGCUGGGCCUGGUUAGUACUUGGAUGGGAGACCACCUAGGAAGACCAGGUGCUGUAGGCG
This 119-nucleotide ribosomal RNA is filed under the name Pteropus alecto (black flying fox). The record is from RNAcentral. Lineage: Eukaryota; Metazoa; Chordata; Mammalia; Chiroptera; Pteropodidae.